ACAAAAUGUAGCUUAGAAAAGCCCUCCGCUUACACCGGAAAGACAUCCGUUAAACCAGAUCAUUUUGA
Molecule: transfer RNA, 68 nt
Filed under: Boophis albilabris
Lineage: Eukaryota; Metazoa; Chordata; Amphibia; Anura; Mantellidae
Description: partial tRNA-Val
Rfam family: tRNA
About the family: Transfer RNA (tRNA) molecules are approximately 80 nucleotides in length. Their secondary structure includes four short double-helical elements and three loops (D, anti-codon, and T loops).
Source: RNAcentral